RNAcentral lists this unclassified non-coding RNA (160 nucleotides) under uncultured Chaetosphaeria. RNAcentral describes it as "sequence contains ITS2". The record is from RNAcentral. Lineage: Eukaryota; Fungi; Ascomycota; Sordariomycetes; Chaetosphaeriales; Chaetosphaeriaceae.
CAACCCUCAGGCCCUAGCCGCCUGGUGAUGGGGCUAUACAGCGCUGCUGUAUGCCCUGAAAAGCAGUGGCGGUGUCCGCCAGCACUCCGGGCGCAGUAGCACUACCUCGCCCUGGACGUCUGGCGGCCGGCCGGCCGUUAAACCCCCAAAUUACAAAAGG